GGGGAAUUUUCCGCAAUGGGCGAAAGCCUGACGGAGCAAUACCGCGUGAGGGAGGAAGGCUCUUGGGUUGUAAACCUCUUUUCUCAGGGAAUAAUAAGUUGAAGGUACCUGAGGAAUCAGCAUCGGCUAACUCCGUGCCAGCAGCCGCGGUAAUACGGAGGAUGCAAGCGUUAUCCGGAAUGAUUGGGCGUAAAGCGUCCGCAGGUGGCUAUUCAAGUCUGCUGUCAAAGAGCGAGGCUUAACUUCGUAAAGGCAGUGGAAACUGGAUGGCUAGAGUACGGCAGGGGUCACAGGAAUUCUCAGUGUAGCGGUGAAAUGCGUAGAUAUUGGGAAGAACACCAGCGGCGAAAGCGUGUGACUGGGCUUGUACUGACACUCAUGGACGAAAGCCAGGGGAGCGAAAGGGAUUAGAUACCCCUGUAGUCCUGGCUGUAAACGAUGGGAACUAGGUGUUGGCCGUAUCGACCCGGUCAGUGCCGUAGCUAACGCGUUAAGUUCCCCGCCUGGGGAGUACGCACGCAAGUGUGAAACUCAAAGGAAUUGACGGGGGCCCGCACAAGCGGUGGAGUAUGUGGUUUAAUUCGAUGCAACGCGAAGAACCUUACCAGGGCUUGACAUACUCGGAACCUUGGUGAAAGCUAAGGGUGCCUUCGGGAGCCGAGAUACAGGUGGUGCAUGGCUGUCGUCAGCUCGUGUCGUGAGAUGUUGGGUUAAGUCCCGCAACGAGCGCAACCCUCGUCUUUAGUUGCCAUCAUUAGGUUGGGCACUUUAGAGAGACUGCCGGUGACAAACCGGAGGAAGGUGGGGAUGACGUCAAGUCAGCAUGCCCCUUACGCCCUGGGCUACACACGUACUACAAUGCUAUGGACAGAGGGUCGCAAGCAUGCGAAUGCAAGCCAAUCCCGUAAACCAUGGCUCAGUUCAGAUUGCAGGCUGCAACUCGCCUGCAUGAAGGCGGAAUCGCUAGUAAUCGCAGGUCAGCAUACUGCGGUGAAUACGUUCCCGGGCCUUGUACACACCGCCCGUCACACCAUGGGAGUUGGCCACGCCCGAAGUCGUUACUCCAACUGUUUACAGAGGGGGACGCCGAAGGCAGGGCUGAUGACUGGGGUGAAGUCGUAACAAGGUAGCCGUACCGGAAGGUGUGGCUGGAUCACCUCCUUUACAGGGAGACCUACCCUUUUGAAGAGUUAAGACUUUACAUUUCUUCGAAUUGGUCAUCCCAAGGUCGGUCGAGUUUAGUUGAAGGGCUUUCAAGUYACCUAGGUUUCGUUAGAUAAUACCGAAUCGAUGCCGGAGUACUUUCUUUUUUUGGCUCGGUUCGAUUGCUUGUUAUCAGCAACUGUAUUUUCUAAUUCGUGGGCUAUUAGCUCAGGUGGUUAGAGCGCACCCCUGAUAAGGGUGAGGUCCCUGGUUCGAGUCCAGGAUGGCCCACUUUGGGGGUUUAGCUCAGUUGGUAGAGCGCCUGCUUUGCAAGCAGGAUGUCAGCAGUUCGAGUCUGCUAACCUCCACUUAGCUUGGUCUCGGGAACUCAGGAGAUUUUAGCACCCUGCAAGCAACUUGAUGAGAGAGCAGGCUGCUGGAUUUCUCCAGUUGAACCUUGAAAACUGCAUAGCAACUUGUCAGGUAGAAAGUAAUCUGCAGGCAUUCAUUUUUGUUGAAUGUACUGCUAGUUCUUGCUAGCGUCAGCGUUUAAGCCUUUGUUUAUGGAAAUUCAUAUGCAAUGGCUUAUUACUGGUCAAGCUAUCAAGGGCUUACGGUGGAUACCUAGGCACACAGAG
This 1781-nucleotide unclassified non-coding RNA is filed under the name Leptolyngbyaceae cyanobacterium N14-MA6A. RNAcentral's name for it is "bacterial SSU rRNA". Lineage: Bacteria; Bacillati; Cyanobacteriota; Cyanophyceae; Leptolyngbyales; Leptolyngbyaceae. The record is from RNAcentral.